RNAcentral lists this ribosomal RNA (402 nucleotides) under uncultured bacterium. Its description in RNAcentral is "bacterial SSU rRNA". It matches the Rfam family "Bacterial small subunit ribosomal RNA", at positions 355 to 774 of the family's 1533-position model. The record is from RNAcentral.
UGGGGAAUUUUGCGCAAUGGGGGAAACCCUGACGCAGCAACGCCGCGUGGAGGAUGAAGUCUCUUGGGACGUAAACUCCUUUCGAUUGGGAAGAUUAUGACGGUACCAAUAGAAGAAGCCCCGGCUAACUUCGUGCCAGCAGCCGCGGUAAUACGAGGGGGGCAAGCGUUGUUCGGAAUUAUUGGGCGUAAAGGGUGCGUAGGCGGUUUGGUAAGUCUUGUGUGAAAUCUUCGGGCUCAACUCGAAGUCUGCACGAGAAACUGCCGGGCUUGAGUGUGGGAGAGGUGAGUGGAAUUUCCGGUGUAGCGGUGAAAUGCGUAGAUAUCGGAAGGAACACCUGUGGCGAAAGCGGCUCACUGGACCACAACUGACGCUGAGGCACGAAAGCUAGGGGAGCAAACA